This is a long non-coding RNA of Heterocephalus glaber (naked mole-rat), 419 nucleotides long. NCBI's taxonomy places the organism in Eukaryota, Metazoa, Chordata, Mammalia, Rodentia, Bathyergidae. The record is from Ensembl.
GGGCCUUUUCUCCUCACCAUGGGAGGACAGAGCAAGAAGGCAGCCAUCUGCAAGCCAGGAGGACCCUCAGAACUCAACCACACUGGCAUCCCAAUCCUGGACAUCCAGCCUCCAGAAGUUGAACUUCUGCAAUGAACUGGACAGCUACCUGGGAAAGAUGAUGAAGAUACAAGAUGGAAACAACAUGGAUCCUGGAAUUACCAUCGGGAAGCAGGUGCCCAUCAGUGAGGCCCAACUGCCUUGGCCUCUCCAUGAGUUAAAGAGUACCUAAAAGGGAACCCAAGUGACCAGUGGAAUUUGAAAAAGAAGAACAAGUUUGAAGAACUCACACUUUCCAAUAUCAAAACUUAAUAUAAGCCUAUAAUAAUCUAAAUGGUGUGGUACCAGCAUAAAGAAGGACAUGUGAUUCAAUAGAAAAC